Hibiscus syriacus is the source of this 1002-nucleotide RNA transcript. It is a transcript of the gene named origin of replication complex subunit 6-like, with no coding region annotated. NCBI's taxonomy places the organism in Eukaryota, Viridiplantae, Streptophyta, Magnoliopsida, Malvales, Malvaceae. The record is from RefSeq and is a predicted model, not a curated record. The transcript has 8 exons.
UGCAAUUAUAUAUUUUGGCGCCAAUGAAUUACCGGGAAAAGAACGGCGCGAACAAAAAAAAACGCCUGAAUUUAGCUUCUCUAGCCUACUCUGCCACUUAUCUUUCUUCGUGCAUUUCUGAUUUUUCAUAAAGAAAAGUAGCACAGACUUAGUUCUCCGUUUUCCAUGGAAUCAUAUAAGAAUUAAAGCAAAUCCAAUAACGGGUUCGGGGCCAAUAUGGAUCUUUCAGAUAUAGCGAGAAAGCUUGAUCUCUCACAACACAAGAUGCUGGUCCGAAAAGCGGCGAAACUCCGACGCCUCUGCGAUGUGCAGUUCGAUUCAUCCAUUAUCGGUGUCGGAGAGGUUUGUAGGUUUUGUGAGGUUAUAUUUGAUAGGCAAAAGGCUGUCAAAUUGAGUGGAGUGUCAGAAAAGGCUUACACUAGAUUUUUCAAUUCCUUGCAGAACGGUCUAAAUAUCAAAACAAUGUUGGAUAUUAGAGAAUUGGGGAUUCAAUUUGGAUGCGUUAGGCUCAUCCCUUUUGUGAAGAAGGAUUUAUCUCUCUACAAGGACCGGUUUAUGGCAUCACUGCCUUCUUCCAGGCAGGCGAGCGCAGACUUCACCAUACCAGUGCUUACUGCCGUGUCAUUUUACUUGUGUGCUAAAAAACACAAGCUGAAGAUCGAUAAGGUUAGGUUGAUUGAGGUUUGUGGCACCUCUGAAUCUGAAUUUUCUUGUGUCUCUACCUCCAUGAAAGAUCUGUGCCAUGAUGUUUUUGGAAUCUCAAAUGAGAGAAAAAAUCCCAAGGAAGCGAAAGGAAACCGAGUUUUCGAGUUACAAGCAGCGAAAGGACGCAGAGAAAGUUGAUGAAGAAUGGAAACCAACUGUUCUGUCAUCUAACAAGAAGAGCACAGAAGUGUGCAUUUUCUUCAGCACCUUGCAAGCGGACCACUCUUAGCAUUCUCAAGCAAGUUUUAUGACAUUGAAAUAUUUAUUUAUUAUUGAGCAUCGAAAUUAUGAAUUUCU